GACGUAGGGCGCGAGCGUUGUCCGGAUUUAUUGGGCGUAAAGAGCUCGUAGGCGGUCUGUUGCGUCGGCUGUGAAAACCCGGGGCUCAACUCCGGGCCUGCAGCCGAUACGGGCAGACUAGAGUUCGGUAGGGGAGACUGGAAUUCCUGGUGUAGCGGUGAAAUGCGCAGAUAUCAGGAGGAACACCGGUGGCGAAGGCGGGUCUCUGGGCCGAUACUGACGCUGAGGAGCGAAAGCGUGGGGAGCGAACAGG
This 253-nucleotide ribosomal RNA is filed under the name uncultured bacterium. RNAcentral describes it as "partial 16S ribosomal RNA". It matches the Rfam family "Bacterial small subunit ribosomal RNA", at positions 524 to 776 of the family's 1533-position model. The record is from RNAcentral.